Molecule: non-coding RNA, 72 nt
Organism: Ornithorhynchus anatinus (platypus)
Lineage: Eukaryota; Metazoa; Chordata; Mammalia; Monotremata; Ornithorhynchidae
Source: Rfam
AGCAGCGCAGCUCAGUGGAAAGAGCCUGGGCUUUGAAGUCAGAGAUCAUGGGUUCGACUCCCGGCUCUGCCA